CCUGACUGCUAUCGGAUUGAUACUAAGCCCUGCGAGUCUUUGCAGUAAUGCAAGGCAUACGGCUCAGUAACACGUAGUCAACUUACCCUAUGGACGAGGAUAAUCUCGGGAAACUGAGCAUAAUACUCGAUAGAUCAUAAUGCCUGGAAUGGUUUAUGGUUAAAAUGAUUCGUCGCCAUAGGAUGGGACUGCGGCCUAUCAGCUUGUUGGUGAGGUAAUGGCCCACCAAGGCGAUUACAGGUACGGGCUCUGAGAGGAGAAGCCCGGAGAUGGGUACUGAGACAAGGACCCAGGCCCUAUGGGGCGCAGCAGGCGAGAAAACUUUGCAAUGUGCGAAAGCACGACAAGGUUAAUCCGAGUGAUUUCUGCUAAAGAAAUCUUUUGCAAGUCAUAAAACCACUAGUGAAUAAGGGGUGGGCAAGUUCUGGUGUCAGCCGCCGCGGUAAAACCAGCACCUCAAGUGGUCAGGAGGAUUAUUGGGCCUAAAGCAUCCGUAGCCGGCUCUGUAAGUUUUCGGUUAAAUCCAUGUGCUCAACGCAUGGGCUGCCGAAAAUACUGCAUAGCUAGGGAGUGGGAGAGGUAGACGGUACUCAGUAGGAAGGGGUAAAAUCCUUUGAUCUAUUGAUGACCACCUGUGGCGAAGGCGGUCUACCAGAACACGUUCGACGGUGAGGGAUGAAAGCUGGGGGAGCAAACCGGAUUAGAUACCCGGGUAGUCCCAGCUGUAAACGAUGCAGACUCGAUGAUGCAUUGGCAUAUAGCCAGUGCAGUGUCGCAGGGAAGCCGUUAAGUCUGCCGCCUGGGAAGUACGUACGCAAGUAUGAAACUUAAAGGAAUUGGCGGGGGAGCACCACAAGGGGUGAAGCCUGCGGUUC
This 875-nucleotide ribosomal RNA is filed under the name uncultured archaeon. RNAcentral describes it as "bacterial SSU rRNA". It matches the Rfam family "Archaeal small subunit ribosomal RNA", at positions 21 to 903 of the family's 1478-position model. The record is from RNAcentral.